Molecule: ribosomal RNA, 664 nt
Filed under: uncultured archaeon
Lineage: Archaea
Description: bacterial SSU rRNA
Rfam family: Archaeal small subunit ribosomal RNA
Source: RNAcentral
UUAGCCAUGCUAGCCGCACGGGUCUAGACCCGUGGCGAAUAGCUCCGUAACACGUGGCCAAACUACCCUGUGGAGGGUGAUAACCUCGGGAAACUGAGGCUAAUCGCCCAUACGGCUCUCUCCCUGGAAUGGGUUGAGCUUGAAAUGCUCCGGCGCCACAGGAUGUGGCUGCGGUCGAUUAGGUAGACGGUGGGGUAACGGCCCACCGUGCCUAUAAUCGGUACGGGUUGUGAGAGCAAGAGCCCGGAGACGGAAUCUGAGACAAGAUUCCGGGCCCUACGGGGCGCAGCAGGCGCGAAACCUUUACACUGCACGACAGUGCGAUAAGGGGAUCCCAAGUGCGAGGGCAUACAGUCCUCGCUUUUGUACACCGUAAGGUGGUGCACGAAUAAGAGCUGGGCAAGACCGGUGCCAGCCGCCGCGGUAAUACCGGCAGCUCGAGUGAUGGCCGUUAUUAUUGGGCCUAAAGCGUCCGUAGCUGGCCGAACAAGUCCAUCGGGAAAUCCAUCCGCUCAACGGAUGGGCGUCCGGCGGAAACUGUUCGGCUUGGGACCGGAAGACCCGAGGGGUACGUCCGGGGUAGGAGUGAAAUCCUGUAAUCCUGGACGGACCGCCGGUGGCGAAAGCGCCUCGGGAGGACGGAUCCGACAGUGANGGACNAAAA